ACUCCUACGGGAGGCGAGCAGUGGGAAUAUUGGCACAAUGGCGCAAAGGCCUGAUGCAGCCAUGCCGCGUGUGUGAAGAAGGCCUUCGGGUUGUAAAAGCACUUUCAGUCGUGAGGAAGGUAGUGUAGUUAAUAGCUGCAUUAUUUGACGUUAGCGACAGAAGAAGCACCGGCUAACUCCGUGCCAGCAGCCGCGGUAAUACGGAGGGUGCGAGCGUUAAUCGGAAUUACUGGGCGUAAAGCGCAUGCAGGUGGUUUGUUAAGUCAGAUGUGAAAGCCCGGGGCUCAACCUCGGAAUUGCAUUUGAAACUGGCAGACUAGAGUACUGUAGAGGGGGGUAGAAUUUCAGGUGUAGCGGUGAAAUGCGUAGAGAUCUGAAGGAAUACCGGUGGCG
This 393-nucleotide ribosomal RNA is filed under the name uncultured bacterium. Its description in RNAcentral is "bacterial SSU rRNA". It matches the Rfam family "Bacterial small subunit ribosomal RNA", at positions 335 to 717 of the family's 1533-position model. The record is from RNAcentral.